AAUACCACUCAAGCUCUCCUGCUUGGUCAUGGAAGAAGAGUAUGCUUGCAUCCUCUCUUCUGAAAUCGAAUGGCGGACCGCCUCAUGUGCCUCGCGUAGUAAGUUCAUCUUUUCGCUGGCAGCGUGAGACAGUCUCGCCAUCAACCCCCAUACUUCUAA
Molecule: unclassified non-coding RNA, 159 nt
Filed under: uncultured Wilcoxina
Lineage: Eukaryota; Fungi; Ascomycota; Pezizomycetes; Pezizales; Pyronemataceae
Description: sequence contains ITS2
Source: RNAcentral